AAUUGGAGGGCAAGUCUGGUGCCAGCAGCCGCGGUAAUUCCAGCUCCAAUAGCGUAUAUUAAAGUUGUUGCAGUUAAAAAGCUCGUAGUUGAAUUUCGGGAUUGACGUGAUGGUCGUGCCUUAAGGGGUAUGAACUGUUGCUGUUGAUUUCUCACCUUCUGGAGAAACUUGAUGUCCUUAAUUGGGUGUCUUGCGGAUCCAGGACCUUUACCUUGAAAAAAUUGGAGUGUUUAAAGCAGGCAUUUUGCUCGAAUACAUUAGCAUGGAAUAAUAGAAUAGGACGGCAUGGUUCUAUUUUGUUGGUUUCUAGGAUCACCGUAAUGAUUAAUAGGGAUAGUUGGGGGCAUUAGUAUUCAAUUGUCAGAGGUGAAAUUCUUGGAUUUAUUGAAGACUAACUACUGCGAAAGCAUUUGCCAAGGAUGUUUUCAUUAAUCAAGAACGAAAGUUAGGGGAUCGAAGACGAUCAGAUACCGUCGUAGUCUUAACCAUAAACUAUGCCGACUAGGAAUCAGACGAUGUUAAUUUUUUAAUGACUCGUUUGGCACCUUACGGGAAACCAAAGUGU
RNAcentral lists this ribosomal RNA (565 nucleotides) under uncultured Glomus. Its description in RNAcentral is "SSU rRNA". It matches the Rfam family "Eukaryotic small subunit ribosomal RNA", at positions 546 to 1106 of the family's 1831-position model. Lineage: Eukaryota; Fungi; Glomeromycota; Glomeromycetes; Glomerales; Glomeraceae. The record is from RNAcentral.